GAUGAAGAACGUAGCGAAAUGCGAUACGUAAAGUGAAUUGCAGAAUUCAGUGAAUCAUCGAAUCUUUGAACGCACAUUGCGCCCGCCAGUAUUCUGGCGGGCAUGCCUGUUCGAGCGUCAUUUCAACCAUCAAGCCCCAGGCUUGUGUUGGGGACCUGCGGCUGCCGCAGGCCCUGAAAACCAGUGGCGGGCUCGCUGUCACACCGGGCGUAGUAGAUUUUAUCUCGCUCAGGGCGUGCUGCGGGUUCCGGCCGUUAAAAAGCCUUUUUUACCCAAGGUUGACCUCGGAUCAGGUAGGAAGACCCGCUGAACUUAAGCAUAUCAAUAAGCGGAGGA
Molecule: unclassified non-coding RNA, 336 nt
Filed under: soil metagenome
Description: partial contains 5.8S ribosomal RNA, internal transcribed spacer 2, and large subunit ribosomal RNA
Rfam family: 5.8S ribosomal RNA (bases 1-120)
Source: RNAcentral